Molecule: non-coding RNA, 1522 nt
Organism: Phoenix dactylifera (date palm)
Lineage: Eukaryota; Viridiplantae; Streptophyta; Magnoliopsida; Arecales; Arecaceae
Source: RefSeq, a predicted model, not a curated record
GAACCAACGCCAGUCGGGCCCGAGCUCUCGCCACGUACACCCUUCCCUCGCCUCGCGGCCGGUCCCUUGUGUACCCACGCCGCCAACCCCCAACUCCCCCGCGCCGCACUUUCUUUCUCGCGGUUCGCUUCCGUCUUCCUCGGAUCUCUCGAGGAGAGAAGGGGAAGUCUGGAGCGAGCUCGAUGCCGGCCCUGAGGACGGCGGCGGAGUUCUCUGGUGGGGAGGGGAUGGCCUGGAGGAAUGGGAUCGCGUGGUGGGACGAGAUCGACGGCUCGGAGGAGUGGCAGCGCGGCAUCUUCUACGCCCUCUGCGCCGCCUACUCCCUCGUCUCCCUUGUCGCUCUGGUGCAACUUAUCCGAAUUCAUCUAAGGGUGCCGGAAUACGGAUGGACAACGCAAAAGCUUUUUCACCUAAUGAAUUUUGUUGCGAAUGGAUUGCGUGCGGUACUUUUUGGCUUCUACCACCGCGUGUUUCUUCUCAAAUCAAAGGCUCUUGAGAUGGCACUUCUAGAUCUCCCUGGUCUAUUGUUCUUCUCAACCUACACUCUACUAGUGUUAUUUUGGGCAGAGAUAUAUCAUCAGGCUAGGAGCCUUCCAAUUGAUAAGCUAAGACCUACAUAUUUAAUAAUCAAUGGGGCCAUAUACAUCACACAGAUUUGCAUUUGGGUAUAUGUCCAAAUAAGUCCUAAGCCUGUUGCCAUUGAAGCUGCUAAAGUCUUUUUGGCAAUUGUUUCAUUCUCUGCUGCUUUUGGAUUUUUGAUAUAUGGUGGGAGGUUGUUUUUUAUGCUGAGGCGCUUCCCAAUUGAAUCUAAGGGUCGCCAAAAAAAGCUGAAUGAGGUUGGUUCUGUGACUGCUAUAUGCUGCGCAUGUUUCUUGAUGCGGUGCUUUGUGGUCGCCCUUUCUGCAUUUGACAAGGAUGCUGACCUUGACGUCCUCGAUCAUCCAAUUUUGAAUUUAAUUUAUUACCUGUUGGUUGAAAUUCUCCCAUCGGCUCUAGUAUUAUUCAUCCUUCGGAAUCUGCCCCCGAAGCGAGUUUCAGAUCGAUACCACCCAUUAACUGAGAAGCUUUAGUAGGACUAGUUGAUGAGUCUCAGGCACUCAAUUGGCCAUGACAAUGCUGGUUCGAUGCGGCAUGUUGGUCUUUGCAUCCAGCUAAUCAGUGACAUUUUAUUUCUUGUUAAUUUUAUGGGGGUUGAUGACAUCAGGAUGGGAUGGUGAUUAGGACCCAACCAAUGACAUGGAUACUGCUGGACUCCAGUCAUAACCACCAGGCUGCGAUGGUUCAACCCUCAAGAAAGAUUUGGCGAACAUCUUGGCCUGUUAUUCUCAUUGAAAUGGGUAAAGAUCUGAUGUAAUUAGCAUUGGAUUUGCAAAACCCUACACCUAAUUUAGUACUUAUUAACAGUUGAAGGACUUCAACAGUUUAGGAAGGGGUGGCUGGUUUUAAAUUAUGAUUCAGAUACGACUCACGUGUAUGGGAUGUUAUACACUUCUGCAGAUAUUGAUUCUCUUCUUUAUGAAGU